Molecule: ribosomal RNA, 264 nt
Filed under: uncultured bacterium
Lineage: Bacteria
Description: partial 16S ribosomal RNA
Rfam family: Bacterial small subunit ribosomal RNA
Source: RNAcentral
GUCCACGCUGUAAACGAUGAGCACUCGAUGUGCGAGGUCUACGACUCCUCGCGUGUCACCGCUAACGCAAUAAGUGCUCCGCCUGGGGAUUACGGUCGCAAGACUAAAACUCAAAGGAAUUGACGGGGCCCGCACAAGCGGUGGAGGAUGUGGUUUAAUUCGACGCAACGCGAAGAAUCUUACCUGGGCUUGACAUCCCCGGACCGCCCCAGAGAUGGGGUUUCCUCUUCGGAGGCCGGGAGACAGGUGCUGCAUGGCUGUCGU